Molecule: ribosomal RNA, 1439 nt
Filed under: Bacteroides sp.
Lineage: Bacteria; Pseudomonadati; Bacteroidota; Bacteroidia; Bacteroidales; Bacteroidaceae
Also listed under: 2 other names
Description: bacterial SSU rRNA
Rfam family: Bacterial small subunit ribosomal RNA
Source: RNAcentral
AGAGUUUGAUCCUGGCUCAGGAUGAACGCUAGCGACAGGCUUAACACAUGCAAGUCGAGGGGCAGCACAGGUAGCAAUACCGGGUGGCGACCGGCGCACGGGUGAGUAACGCGUAUGCAACUUGCCUAUCAGAGGGGGAUAACCCGGCGAAAGUCGGACUAAUACCGCAUGAAGCAGGGGCCCCGCAUGGGGAUAUUUGCUAAAGAUUCAUCGCUGAUAGAUAGGCAUGCGUUCCAUUAGGCAGUUGGCGGGGUAACGGCCCACCAAACCGACGAUGGAUAGGGGUUCUGAGAGGAAGGUCCCCCACAUUGGUACUGAGACACGGACCAAACUCCUACGGGAGGCAGCAGUGAGGAAUAUUGGUCAAUGGCCGAGAGGCUGAACCAGCCAAGUCGCGUGAGGGAUGAAGGUUCUAUGGAUCGUAAACCUCUUUUAUAAGGGAAUAAAGUGCGGGACGUGUCCCGUUUUGUAUGUACCUUAUGAAUAAGGAUCGGCUAACUCCGUGCCAGCAGCCGCGGUAAUACGGAGGAUCCGAGCGUUAUCCGGAUUUAUUGGGUUUAAAGGGUGCGUAGGCGGCCUUUUAAGUCAGCGGUGAAAGUCUGUGGCUCAACCAUAGAAUUGCCGUUGAAACUGGGGGGCUUGAGUAUGUUUGAGGCAGGCGGAAUGCGUGGUGUAGCGGUGAAAUGCAUAGAUAUCACGCAGAACCCCGAUUGCGAAGGCAGCCUGCCAAGCCAUGACUGACGCUGAUGCACGAAAGCGUGGGGAUCAAACAGGAUUAGAUACCCUGGUAGUCCACGCAGUAAACGAUGAUCACUAGCUGUUUGCGAUACACUGUAAGCGGCACAGCGAAAGCGUUAAGUGAUCCACCUGGGGAGUACGCCGGCAACGGUGAAACUCAAAGGAAUUGACGGGGGCCCGCACAAGCGGAGGAACAUGUGGUUUAAUUCGAUGAUACGCGAGGAACCUUACCCGGGUUUGAACGCAUUCGGACCGAGGUGGAAACACCUUUUCUAGCAAUAGCCGUUUGCGAGGUGCUGCAUGGUUGUCGUCAGCUCGUGCCGUGAGGUGUCGGCUUAAGUGCCAUAACGAGCGCAACCCUUGCCACUAGUUACUAACAGGUGAUGCUGAGGACUCUGGUGGGACUGCCAGCGUAAGCUGCGAGGAAGGCGGGGAUGACGUCAAAUCAGCACGGCCCUUACAUCCGGGGCGACACACGUGUUACAAUGGCGUGGACAAAGGGAGGCCACCUGGCGACAGGGAGCGAAUCCCCAAACCACGUCUCAGUUCGGAUCGGAGUCUGCAACCCGACUCCGUGAAGCUGGAUUCGCUAGUAAUCGCGCAUCAGCCAUGGCGCGGUGAAUACGUUCCCGGGCCUUGUACACACCGCCCGUCAAGCCAUGGGAGCCGGGGGUACCUGAAGUCCGUAACCGCGAGGAUCG